CAGGCCUAAUACAUGCAAGUCGGACGGUAACAUAGAGUGCGCAGGCUAUUUGCUGACGACCGGCGCACGGGUGAGUAACGCGUAUGCAACCUACCUUUUACUGGAGAAUAGCCUUUAGAAAUGAAGAUUAAUACUCCAUAAUAAUUAAGGCUCUCCUGAGUUUUAAUUUAAAGUUUCGACGGUAAAAGAUGGGCAUGCGUUUUAUUAGUUAGUUGGUAAGGUAACGGCUUACCAAGACUACGAUAAAUAGGGGUCCUGAGAGGGAGAUCCCCCACACUGGUACUGAGACACGGACCAGACUCCUACGGGAGGCAGCAGUGAGGAAUAUUGGACAAUGGAGGCAACUCUGAUCCAGCCAUGCCGCGUGCAGGAAGACGGCCCUAUGGGUUGUAAACUGCUUUUAUACAGGAAGAAACCUCCCCACGUGUCGUGAGAUGACGGUACCGUAAGAAUAAGGACCGGCUAACUCCGUGCCAGCAGCCGCGGUAAUACGGAGGGUCCGAGCGUUAUCCGGAAUUAUUGGGUUUAAAGGGUCCGCAGGCGGGCGAUUAAGUCAGGGGUGAAAGUCUGCGGCUUCAACUGUAGAAUUGCCUUUGAUACUGGUGGUCUUGAGUUAUGGUGAAGUGGCUGGAAUAUGUAGUGUAGCGGUGAAAUGCAUAGAUAUUACAUAGAACACCGAUCGCGAAGGCAGGUCACUAACCACUAACUGACGCUGAUGGACGAAAGCGUGGGGAGCGAACGGGAUUAGAUACCCCGGUAGUCCACGCUGUAAACGAUGGAUACUAGCUGUUCGGACUUCGGUCUGAGUGGCUAAGCGAAAGUGAUAAGUAUCCCACCUGGGGAGUACGUUCGCAAGAAUGAAACUCAAAGGAAUUGACGGGGGCCCGCACAAGCGGUGGAGCAUGUGGUUUAAUUCGAUGAUACGCCGAGGAACCUUACCAGGGCUUAAAUGUAGAUUGACAGGUUUAGAGAUAGGCUUUUCUUCGGACAAUUUACAAGGUGCUGCAUGGUUGUCGUCAGCUCGUGCCGGGAGGUGUCAGGUUAAGUCCUAUAACGAGCGCAACCCCUCCCGUUAGUUGCCAGCAUGUAAAGAUGGGGACUCUAACGGGACUGCCGGUGCAAACCGUGAGGAAGGUGGGGAUGACGUCAAAUCAUCACGGCCCUUACGUCCUGGGCCACACACGUGCUACAAUGGCCGGUACAGAGAGCAGCCAUGUUGCGAGACAGAGCGAAUCUAUAAAACCGGACACAGUUCGGAUCGGGGUCUGCAACUCGACCCCGCGAAGCUGGAAUCGCUAGUAAUCGCAUAUCAGCCAUGAUCCGGUGAAUACGUUCCCGGGCCUUGUACACACCGCCC
Molecule: ribosomal RNA, 1357 nt
Filed under: uncultured prokaryote
Description: partial 16S ribosomal RNA
Rfam family: Bacterial small subunit ribosomal RNA
Source: RNAcentral